AGUGAACGCUGGCGGCGUGCUUAACACAUGCAAGUCGAACGAGAACGGGUUAUAGCUUGCUAUAAUUGUCAGCUAAGUGGCGCACGGGUGAGUAAUGUAUAGGUAAUAUGCCUCUUACUAAGGGAUAGCAAAUGGAAACGUUUGCUAAUACCUUAUACUCCUUAUUAACAGAAGUUAAUAAGGGAAAGAUUUAUUGGUAAGAGAUUAGCCUGUAUUGUAUCAGUUAGUUGGUGGGGUAAUGGCUUACCAAGACUAUGACACAUAACUGGUUUGAGGAUGAUCAGUCACACUGGAACUGAGACACGGUCCAGACUCCUACGGGAGGCAGCAGUGGGGAAUAUUGCACAAUGGACGAAAGUCUGAUGCAGCAACGCCGCGUGGAGGAUGACACAUUUCGGUGCGUAAACUCCUUUUAUAUGAGAAGAUAAUGACGGUAUUAUAUGAAUAAGCACCGGCUAACUCCGUGCCAGCAGCCGCGGUAA
This 482-nucleotide ribosomal RNA is filed under the name uncultured bacterium. Its description in RNAcentral is "partial 16S ribosomal RNA". It matches the Rfam family "Bacterial small subunit ribosomal RNA", at positions 29 to 523 of the family's 1533-position model. The record is from RNAcentral.